This 253-nucleotide ribosomal RNA is filed under the name uncultured bacterium. RNAcentral's name for it is "partial 16S ribosomal RNA". It matches the Rfam family "Bacterial small subunit ribosomal RNA", at positions 524 to 776 of the family's 1533-position model. The record is from RNAcentral.
UACGAAGGGUGCAAGCGUUGCUCGGAAUUAUUGGGCGUAAAGCGCACGUAGGCGGUUCGUUAUGUCGGAUGUGAAAGCCCUUGGCUUAACCGAGGAAGUGCAUCCGAAACUGGCGAGCUAGAGUACGAAAGAGGAUCGCGGAAUUCCCGGUGUAGAGGUGAAAUUCGUAGAUAUCGGGAGGAACACCGGUGGCGAAGGCGGCGAUCUGGGUCGAUACUGACGCUGAGGUGCGAAAGCGUGGGGAGCAAACAGG